Molecule: ribosomal RNA, 479 nt
Filed under: uncultured organism
Description: partial 16S ribosomal RNA
Rfam family: Bacterial small subunit ribosomal RNA
Source: RNAcentral
GUACACUCCUACGGGAGGCAGCAGUGGGGAAUUUUGGACAAUGGGCGAAAGCCUGAUCCAGCAAUGCCGCGUGUGUGAAGAAGGCCUUCGGGUUGUAAAGCACUUUUGUCCGGAAAGAAAUCCUUGGCUCUAAUACAGUCGGGGGAUGACGGUACCGGAAGAAUAAGCACCGGCUAACUACGUGCCAGCAGCCGCGGUAAUACGUAGGGUGCGAGCGUUAAUCGGAAUUACUGGGCGUAAAGCGUGCGCAGGCGGUUUGCUAAGACCGAUGUGAAAUCCCCGGGCUCAACCUGGGAACUGCAUUGGUGACUGGCAGGCUAGAGUAUGGCAGAGGGGGGUAGAAUUCCACGUGUAGCAGUGAAAUGCGUAGAGAUGUGGAGGAAUACCGAUGGCGAAGGCAGCCCCCUGGGCCAAUACUGACGCUCAUGCACGAAAGCGUGGGGAGCAAACAGGAUUAGAAACCCUGGUAGUCCCAUGAU